ACCGCUAAUACCGCAUAACCCGCCGGUGCCGCAUGGCACUGACGGAAAAGAUUUAUCGGUGUGAGAUGGACCCGCGUCUGAUUAGCCAGUUGGCAGGGUAACGGCCUACCAAAGCGACGAUCAGUAGCCGGCCUGAGAGGGUGAACGGUCACAUUGGGACUGAGACACGGCCCAAACUCCUACGGGAGGCAGCAGUGGGGAAUAUUGCACAAUGGGGGAAACCCUGAUGCAGCGACGCCGCGUGAGUGAAGAAGUAUUUCGGUAUGUAAAGCUCUAUCAGCAGGGAAGAAAAUGACGGUACCUGACCAAGAAGCCCCGGCUAACUACGUGCCAGCAGCCGCGGUAAUACGUAGGGGGCAAGCGUUAUCCGGAUUUACUGGGUGUAAAGGGAGCGUAGACGGCUGAGCAAGUCAGAAGUGAAAGCCCGGGGCUCAACCCCGGGACUGCUUUUGAAACUGCGGAGCUGGAGUGCAGGAGAGGUAAGCGGAAUUCCUGGUGUAGCGGUGAAAUGCGUAGAUAUCAGGAGGAACACCAGUGGCGAAGGCGGCUUACUGGACUGUAACUGACGUUGAGGCUCGAAAGCGUGGGGAGCAAACAGGAUUAGAUACCCUGGUAGUCCACGCCGUAAACGA
Molecule: ribosomal RNA, 632 nt
Filed under: uncultured bacterium
Lineage: Bacteria
Description: bacterial SSU rRNA
Rfam family: Bacterial small subunit ribosomal RNA
Source: RNAcentral